UUGGAGGGCAAGUCUGGUGCCAGCAGCCGCGGUAAUUCCAGCUCCAAUAGCGUAUAUUAAAGUUGUUGCAGUUAAAAAGCUCGUAGUUGAAUUUCGGGGUCAGUAGGUUGGUCAUGCCACUGGUAUGUACUGGUCUCACUGAUUCCUCCUUCCUGAUGAGCCGUAAUGCCAUUAAUUUGGUGUUGCGAGGAAUCUGGACUGUUACUUUGAAAAAAUUAGAGUGUUUAAAGCAGGCUAACGCUUGAAUACAUUAGCAUGGAAUAACGAAAUAGGACGUUCGAUCUUAUUUUGUUGGUUUCUAAGAUUGACGUAAUGGUUAAUAGGGAUAGUUGGGGGCAUUAGUAUUCAAUUGUCAGAGGUGAAAUUCUUGGAUUUAUUGAAGACUAACUACUGCGAAAGCAUUUGCCAAGGAUGUUUUCAUUAAUCAAGAACGAAAGUUAGGGGAUCGAAGACGAUCAGAUACCGUCGUAGUCUUAACCAUAAACUAUGCCGACUAGGGAUCGGAUGAUGUUAAUUUUUUAAUGACUCAUUCGGCGCCUUACGGGAAACCAAAGUGUUUGGGUUC
Molecule: ribosomal RNA, 565 nt
Filed under: uncultured Glomeromycotina
Lineage: Eukaryota; Fungi; Glomeromycota
Description: SSU rRNA
Rfam family: Eukaryotic small subunit ribosomal RNA
Source: RNAcentral